GACGAACCGUGCGAACGUUAUUCGGAAUCAUUGGGCUUAAAGGGCGCGUAGGCGGCGGCGUAAGUUGGAAGUGAAAUCCCAUCGGCUCAACCGUGGAAUUGCUCCCAGUACUGCGACGCUCGAGGGGGAUAGGGGUCUGCGGAACUACCGGUGGAGCGGUGAAAUGUGUUGAUAUCGGUGGGAACGCCAGUGGCGAAAGCGGCAGACUGGACCCUUCCUGACGCUGAUGCGCGAAAGCUAGGGGAGCAAACGGG
RNAcentral lists this ribosomal RNA (254 nucleotides) under uncultured bacterium. RNAcentral describes it as "partial 16S ribosomal RNA". It matches the Rfam family "Bacterial small subunit ribosomal RNA", at positions 524 to 776 of the family's 1533-position model. The record is from RNAcentral.